Non-coding RNA from Hydra vulgaris (swiftwater hydra), 631 nucleotides. NCBI's taxonomy places the organism in Eukaryota, Metazoa, Cnidaria, Hydrozoa, Anthoathecata, Hydridae. The record is from RefSeq and is a predicted model, not a curated record.
UUCUGUAGACAAUUUAGAACAAACAAUCAGUAAGUUAAGUUUGAAUUGUUUUAGUUACUAUAUCAUUUAAAGUAUUUGUAUGCUGUGUUAGUAUUCCUUGUUGAAUAAAUGUUUUGAUUUAAAAAAAUUUUUUAAAAGAUUUAAGUUUAAGAAAAAAUUAUUAAUUCAUGCAAGCGCUUGUCCAAUGACCAACUAUUUGAUUUAGAAGAUGUCAUGUCAGAUAGAAUUGUUCGGAAGAAACUAGAACAUGAAUGGUACGAUCCAAAAACAUGCAAAAGUGUUUUAUAUAGCGAAAGAGUAGAAAAAGUUAAUAAAAGAAAAAAAAACUUUAUUUACACCAUUUCUUACUAAAAAGAUGAUGAAUCUGAUAUUGGAGCUGUUGACUAUUGCAUGAAAAAGAUCCAGCUUGCUGCUGAUAUUGUUUCCAGAAAUUUGUUUAUUAACCGAAGAAAAUGGCUAGCUCGUUAACCAUACUGUAUGGUUCUGUUAAUGUGAGAAUCACAUGAAAGACAAUAAUAUAGGAUGGGUGGGGGCAUACGCCCUCCCGUAAUAGAAACACCAGUUGUAGACGUAAGAUCAUGUAUAACAUAAUUUUAUAUUGUAUACUAAUUUUACACAUUUCAGUAAAGAU